GGCGGGGCGCCCCCGGCCGGGCACCCGGCGCUGCUCCUCGGGCCCGAGGGAUCCCGGGCAGCCGCGCGCCGGGGCCCGGGGCGGAGUGCUCGCGGGUGUGUCCAUUCGUCCAUCCGCCGCCCCCGCCCGCCCCCUGCGGUGGCUCCCGGCUUGCCCAGCUCGGCGGCCGCGCCCGGCAGAUGCGCGGCGCUGGGUCCCGGCCUCCUGCGCCCCGGGCCUCCCGGCCCCGCCGGCCCCGGGUUGGCGGACGGGACCGAGGCGAGCUCCCCGGCCGCGCUCAACACCUGAGGAAACUGGCGGAAAAGUUUGAGAACGAAAAGUCCAAUCGUCUUUCAGCUUCCGCCCUCCCUAUGACACUCCAGCCACGGUCUUUUCCCUUGGAGAAGACACAGUGGAGGCUGAUUUGGCCACACAGAGGGCUGGUGUGGAAGAGGAAAGCCAUGUCUCUGAUUACUGAAUGCACAGGUCACUAGGAAGAGUGGACCUCUCAUCAGAAACCCUCAGGUCUGAGAGGACAUCUGUUUCCAGGAGAGCAGUGGGUAUAAAUAGAGCAGGAGCCAGCCUCGCUGCUGGGCGGGUUUUGUGUUUGCUGUUUUGUUUUUCUAACAUUCUGCUCCGCUAAAAUCACCCUCAUUUGGCAUCAAAAGCAUGAAUAAAUCCUACAUAAGUCACUGUCCCUCCA
RNAcentral lists this long non-coding RNA (682 nucleotides) under Bos indicus x Bos taurus (hybrid cattle). Its description in RNAcentral is "lncRNA (ENSBIXG00005004491.1)". Lineage: Eukaryota; Metazoa; Chordata; Mammalia; Artiodactyla; Bovidae. The record is from RNAcentral.